RNAcentral lists this transfer RNA (67 nucleotides) under Phaeognathus hubrichti (Red Hills salamander). Its description in RNAcentral is "tRNA-Gly". It matches the Rfam family "tRNA". Rfam says of the family: Transfer RNA (tRNA) molecules are approximately 80 nucleotides in length. Lineage: Eukaryota; Metazoa; Chordata; Amphibia; Caudata; Plethodontidae. The record is from RNAcentral.
GUCUUUUUAGUAUAAAAUAUAAAUGACUUCCAAUUAUUAGAUCUUAGUUUUAACCUAAGAAAAGACA